UGGGUGGAUAUAAAGGGAUUACAUGAUGCACUGAUGACGAAUGAAGCGGCGGAGAAGGUCGAACUCACUUUAGCGAUGUGGAGCAUGUGGACCAGUUAAACAUCCGAAGAGGAACCCAUGCUAGGGUUCGGUUCUACAUCACCUAAAGGAUCCGGUGAGGGAGGCGUUUGGUGAGAUGCCCUUCGAAUUUGGUUCUGCCCGAUUUCCGGUCAAGCUCACCGUGAAAUAUGAGCGGGCUGUUGGCUUUUGUCGAGUUUGUACGUGGGAUGCUGAUCCACUCGGAGGAGGGCUGUGGUGGUGCCUCCUCAAUUCAUUGAGAUUGACUCAAUGAAAACCCCUUUUGGCUAUGGAGAAGAGGCUAGGGUCUCUGCUAACUCUAACCCUAACUCUAGGUCCAAUUCGACUUCAGGUGCCACACAGCUUGAUCUUCUGAGGCAGGGUUCUGUGAAUUCUAGGGGAGGCUCUACAAUCGGUGUUCGCUCUUAGAAGAUCCCCAUUCCAGUCACCAACCCUUUUGCUGGUUCCGGUUCGGCAGUUGGCGAGGUUUCGUAACCCUCUAACUGGUUUCUCUACUGUUGCGUCACCGGUAGUGGCGCCGGUGAUUAUUCCGGCUAGUGCAAUCCCGGUUCCGGCGCUGCCAAUCUCAGGUACCAAGAGGAGUGCUGACAUGGCCCUGGUGUCAAUGGGGAAGAGAGGCAGUGGUGAGGGGGACGUAGAUCGGCUGUGUAUGGUUCCUUAUGAGUUAGGGAUUGCUCCCGAGAUGGCACUUAAGCAUUCUGGUGGUAUUUUGGUUGUAUCUCCGGCGAAAAAAAGGAAAGCGGGGCGCCCUCCGGGUUCUAAUUAAGAACAAGAAGAGUGGAGCUGCGGUGGUGUCCGGGGAGGGUUCCUCCUCGUCGGGACCAAAGGGAGCUAGGAAACGAUCCUUUGGGGCCUGUAAAGCCUUGGCUCGGAAAUGGGCUGCUGAGUUGAGUUUGGAGGCUAAUCCGGACUCUCAAGUUGCUGUUUGUGUGGAGGUGGACGAUGGGGGUACGACGCCGGCAUCUGCUGGUAGUUCCUCAGGGGUCUCCGCUUUAGAGCAAGUUGAGCUUGGUUCUUGAAUAAUUUAGUCAGAAUAAACAAGGUUUUUUUAGGAAUUUUUAGAUUGCUUCGGUUUCGUUGUUUUUGUUCUCGUCACUUUGGUCACUUUUUGGUUACUAUGGUUACUCUGCUUAGUGUCGACUGCGCCUAUGGGUUGCAAUAUAGAGAUUAUCUAGGGUAGGUUCUAGGUAGUCUUGCAUGACUCAAUUUCUAACGGUGCCCGCGACGGCGUUUCAUAUUCACGUUGUAAUUCGACUUUCAGUUAUCAAUAUAUUCAUGACUAACAUGCAUUUAUC
Molecule: RNA transcript, 1373 nt
Organism: Fragaria vesca subsp. vesca
Lineage: Eukaryota; Viridiplantae; Streptophyta; Magnoliopsida; Rosales; Rosaceae
Exons: 2
Source: RefSeq, a predicted model, not a curated record